ACCUGCUACAGCUGCCUCAAAGAAUAUUGGAACAAAUUGUUUUUAUAUGUCUGUUCUACCAGGGGAAGUCUUCACAUGUUUUCAAUAGGAAUCUCCCCUAAUUCACCUAUGAGUUUGAGGCUUGCCAAGAUGGUUUUCCUGAGUAUGGCUGCUGAGUAUACCUUGGAGUCACAGAGAGGUGGCUCUGGUGGUAGUGUGCUGAGCAUCUUGGCAUCUUGGCUUGGCAGAAGCUAUUGUCCGGGUUUGGCGGUGAGUUUCCUUGAUACAAUACUGGGAGAAGUUUAGUAGUCUAGUUCAGGGUCCUGGAUUAGAGAGACUCCAAUCAGUCAGCCAACUUUUGCAUUUCUCUCUCUUUUUUAGAAACUCCUAGGAAUAUUUCUCCCUCAUAAAACCUGGUUAAUUGAUAAAGGUUCUUCCUACGUAUGUGAUUCCCAUUACCUAUGAGGGUGUGGAGGGGUUGAGAGUCUUGUGGUGAGUAUUUUCAGCCAAUAUAAAAUAAAACAGAGAGGCAAAGCUCCA
This 519-nucleotide long non-coding RNA is filed under the name Monodelphis domestica (gray short-tailed opossum). RNAcentral's name for it is "lncRNA (ENSMODG00000047041.1)". Lineage: Eukaryota; Metazoa; Chordata; Mammalia; Didelphimorphia; Didelphidae. The record is from RNAcentral.